Molecule: long non-coding RNA, 747 nt
Organism: Ornithodoros turicata
Lineage: Eukaryota; Metazoa; Arthropoda; Arachnida; Ixodida; Argasidae
Exons: 2
Source: RefSeq, a predicted model, not a curated record
ACGUUCGCGCGCAAUGGGCAAGCCAGUUGGCAGUCUUUGCGCUAGAAGCGAAAGUGCACUUUCUGAUUCUUUUUUUUUUUUUGCUCAUAAAUCACGACCGUCACAACCGACGAAGCCCGUUCCUGUUGUCUUAGUGUUAAGGUAACGGCAUCUUUCAUUCUGCGAGCACAAAUCUUUGCACCUUGGUGUUCCCUUUAAAAACCUCUCUCCUAUGCAACAUGCUAAGCUGGAACUAUGGUUCUUGUGCAAGAACAAAGCAUGGUAUAUGCUACUGCACGGCAUGGCACGGCACGGUAAACAAUUCUGGCGAAUUCCACUGGUCCAUCUGGAGCAAUCACCCGAAUCCGCCACAGAGCAACAAAAUUCGGCAAGCAGGGACCGAAUCUGGACCCAUCAGCGACAAACAAUCGCUCUGCAUCCAAUAGCCUGACAGAAGUCGUUCAGCGAAUAUGGUAACCCCAGCAACUCCGAACGACGUUCCCUGUAUUUGCUCAGCCUUGCAAGAUGUGGAGGUGACGACAGUGCUCGGUGGGUGUUCCAGUCCAAUCCGAUGGUCCUCGUCGGAGCAAGAAAGAGCGUUAUACCAUCUGGUCCCUGUGAUUGCUCCAGAAGUGUCGAAGACUUUCACUGGCAGAUGCAAGGAUGGUGUCCGCCUGCCUUCAGCUCUCCAGUGUGAGAACACGGAUACGGCACGUACCAGCGAUAUAAAAUUGGAGGAAUGAGAAUAAAUAUAAACAGUCGUGCCCA